RNAcentral lists this long non-coding RNA (351 nucleotides) under Brassica rapa (field mustard). RNAcentral describes it as "long non-coding RNA (BRAP_LNC004769)". Lineage: Eukaryota; Viridiplantae; Streptophyta; Magnoliopsida; Brassicales; Brassicaceae. The record is from RNAcentral.
UUUAUCGUCCCUAAACUGCAUUUGAAACAACGUCGUGGUGUUGUUGUCUUUCCCUCUCCGACAAAGCCUUGAUGAUGAUGAUCAACAACAUCAGGAAGGCUGAUUCUGAGCUCGAGGUUCAAAUCUGGAAAGUUCUCUUCAACUGGACACUCGUCUUUUUCUUCUUUGAACGUAACCAUUGAGAUUUUCUCUUGUUUUCCAGGAAAACUUGUGCUUUCCUGGAAUAUUUCCAUCUUCGGAGUAGAAGAGGAAGAGGCGAAGGAGAUAUUAAUGGUGUUACUUGUGAUUGCUUCUAGGUGUGUCGGUUUAGAAUCCUGAGAAGCUGACGAUUCUUGGAUUGGUCUAUGAGUU